This 208-nucleotide long non-coding RNA is filed under the name Hordeum vulgare. Its description in RNAcentral is "long non-coding RNA (HVUL_LNC007960)". The record is from RNAcentral. Lineage: Eukaryota; Viridiplantae; Streptophyta; Magnoliopsida; Poales; Poaceae.
CUUCAUCAUGAGGUCGCCGUUGGUUCAUGCUGACGAGCGCAAGGUGUUCUGGAUCAUGACGGUGGUGACUUGCGGAUUGCACCAUUUCAGCGGGUCCUCCGCAUCGGCCUCGUUCUGAAUGCCGGCGACCUCGUCGUCGGUUUGCAGGGCGUGAUGACGUGAUCGGCUGGCGCCGCCAGAGCUACCUGCUCCUUCUCCUCUCCCCGUC